AUGCUUCGACUUCCCAAAGAACCUGAAAGUCCCCAGGGAAUGCCCUGGUGCUGGGAGGCAUAAGGGGAUGGGGAAAAGGACAAUGGGUUUAAGAAGUCGGUGUUGUGUUGAAACAGAAUGGAGGGGGGUUUUCACCGCAGUGGAUUUCUCUGGUCCUGAGCCUGUGGUGGCAGACGUGUUGAAGGUAGGACAAGAGAUGGGCAUGGUUAGAUAACCUUUCUUGAGUUUGCAAGCCUCCAAUACUGUCCUUGUCUGCUCGGCUUCUAACUGCCCUAAGGUAGGGCUGACAAAGUAACUUCAAAUUUUGGACACCAGGACACAGCUUGUACUAAGAAGAAAUCACCUGUUUGGGGCUGCGGAUGUAGCUUAGUUAGUGGAAUGCUUGCUUAGCAUGGUUGAAGCCCUGGGAUUUGAUCUGAGUACCACAUAAAGCCGGACAUGGUAAUACACAGCAGUAGUCCCGGCACCCGGGAGGUGAGGAAGCGCUAGACCAAGGGCAGAUAGGUGAUACUCUGUCUCAAAAACAAGACAAAACCAGGACCCAAAGGAAAACAACCUGAACUAGCCAAAUAAACGAACAACAACAACAACAACAAAAAAAAAAUCCACAAACGUGUGUUUUCCCCCCAUCCUGAAAUUAAAUUUUAAUCGGUUGUCCUACGUUUUUACUUGCUAACUUCGUUUCAACCUAGUAUCCCUUCCUUUUCCAGAAAAGGAAAAUCCAGCCCCACAAAUAGAAUGCGGCAGGGUCAGAGAGACAGACUCCAGGCCUGGCAGAGUCACUGGAUAUGCAUGGAUGCGCCUUGGUAACGCUGGUCUUUAUGACAGAGGCCUUGCAUCAGCCGCCCACGUGUUAGGGAGGGGCUCUUUGUGAUUAUCAGGGGUUUCUAUGCCACCCUUUAUUACUGUUAGCAUGGGAACCAAGCUCAAAGGAGCACAGGCAAACCUAUUAUAGAGACCGCGAGGGUACCACGUUCCUCCCAGUUCAAAAGCCCAAAUGGGUAGGACCGUGAGGCCUCUGUAAGUCAUCUUCACUCUUCCGGUCGUGGUUUUUAUAUUGACCAACUGGCUGGCCCCUGCACCCCUUGUUCAACUCCAGUGAACCUGAGUCAGGCACGUAGCCAAGGGGGCCACUGGAAGCAACUUGAAAAGGACUCUACACAGUGAUUCUCUCUACUCCUAUAGCUGUGAAAGUGGCUGGCAUGACACCAUGGAUCCACUACACCCAGAUCAAGAAAACAAAAGCCGUGGAUGCUGCUGCCAAAUGGACUGUCUCUGGACCAUGAGCUCAUUGAAAUCAAGUAAUCGUCGGGGUUCAGGAAUCACCACACAAACCGUACAAACACUGAUCUCAGUUAAGCAAGAAGAGUUUAUUGAAUGCACGCCCCAAGACUGACGGAUCGUGACGACAAGAAGAAUUUGGACGGAUCCACCAGAGAUCCUCCGGAGAGACUGGCAAGAAAUUAGAAAAGCAGGAAGAAGAAAGAUGUAUUCCGCAUAGUUCUGACCUCGGAGGCCAUGGUGGCUGCCCCAUCAGCACUAGGAAUGGGUGUAACUGGGUUUCGGGAGUCCCAGUAGGUCUCCUCUACCUCUGGCAAUCUACCACCAACUGUGAAUGUGCAUCAGAAGUAAAGCAGCUGCUCUAUCCUA
Non-coding RNA from Rattus norvegicus (Norway rat), 1650 nucleotides. The record is from RefSeq and is a predicted model, not a curated record. Lineage: Eukaryota; Metazoa; Chordata; Mammalia; Rodentia; Muridae.